GGGAAACUACGGCUAAUACCGCAUGAUGCCUGAGGGCCAAAGACGAAAGUCGUUUGAGGAGGAGCCUGUGUCUGAUUAGGUAGUUGGUGGGGUAAAGGCCUACCAAGCCUGCGAUCAGUAGCUGGUCUGAGAGGAUGAUCAGCCACAUUGGGACUGAGACACGGCCCAAACUCCUACGGGAGGCAGCAGUGGGGAAUAUUGGACAAUGGGCGCAAGCCUGAUCCAGCAAUGCCGCGUGGGUGAAGAAGGUCUUCGGAUUGUAAAGCACUUUUGGCAGGGACGAUGAUGACGGUACCUGCAGAAUAAGCCCCGGCUAACUUCGUG
Molecule: ribosomal RNA, 324 nt
Filed under: uncultured bacterium
Lineage: Bacteria
Description: bacterial SSU rRNA
Rfam family: Bacterial small subunit ribosomal RNA
Source: RNAcentral